GUGAAUCAUCGAAUCUUUGAACGCACAUUGCGCCCGCCAGUAUUCUGGCGGGCAUGCCUGUCUGAGCGUCGUUUCGACCCUCGCGCCCGGCUUCUGUCGGGGGCGGUGUUGGGGAUCGGCCACACCCUUUACCGGGCGGCCGUCCCCUAAAUCCAGUGGCGACCACGCUGUAGCCUCCCCUGCGUAGUACUAAAACCACCUCGCAGGCGGAGAGCGGUGCGGCCCGCCGUAAAACCCCCAACUUUUACAAGGUCGACCUCAGAUCAGGUAGGAAUACCCGCUGAACUUAAGCAUAUCAAUAAGCGGAGGA
This 310-nucleotide unclassified non-coding RNA is filed under the name Acremonium sp. Its description in RNAcentral is "partial contains 5.8S ribosomal RNA, internal transcribed spacer 2, and large subunit ribosomal RNA". The stretch from base 1 to 71 matches the Rfam family "5.8S ribosomal RNA", at positions 84 to 154 of the family's 154-position model. Lineage: Eukaryota; Fungi; Ascomycota; Sordariomycetes; Hypocreales; Bionectriaceae. The record is from RNAcentral.